AUAGUAUAGAGGACUAUCGUGGUUUUAACGGGUGACGGAGCAUUAGGGUGCGAUGCCGGAGAGGGAGCCUGAGAAACGGCUACCACGUCUACGGGCGGCAGCAGGCGCGUAAAUUACCCAAUCCUGACACAGGGAGGUAGUGACAAUAAAUAACAAUACUCGCCCCGACAAGGGGAGAGUAAUUGGAAUGAGAACGAUUUAAAACAACUAACGAGUAGCAAUUAGAGGGCAAGUCUGGUGCCAGCAGCCGCGGUAAUUCCAGCUCUAAUAGCGUAUUUUAAAGUUGUUGCAGUUAAAACGCUCGUAGUUGGACCUCGGAGUCCGGGUGUGAUUCGGUCCGCGUCAAAGUGAGUACUGACACAUCGGCUCUACCAAUGAGUGAUCCCCUGGUGCGCUUCACUGGGUGCCAGGAGCUGGCGGCGUCGCGUGCGGGCAACCGUGCGCGGCGUCGUCGGGGUUCUCAUUCGUUUACUUUGAAUAAAUUAGAGUGUUCAAAGCAGCCCGCUUGUACGGGCCUGAAUAAUCUAGCAUGGGAUAAUGGAAUAGGCUGUCGGCUUAUUUCGUUGGUUUCUGAGCCAGACAGAAUGAUUAAGAGGGACAGUUGGGGGUUUUCGUAUUCAAUUGUCAGAGGUGAAAUUCUAGGAUUUGUUGAAGACGAACUACUGCGAGAGCAUCAACCAAGGAUGUUUUCAUUAAUCAAGAACGAAAGUUAGGGGAUCGAAGACGAUCAGAUACCGUCGUAGUCUUAACCAUAAACGAUGCCGACCAGCAAUUCGGAGACGUUACAUUUGAAUGACUCCCCGAGCAGCUUGAGAGAAAUCAGAGUGUUUGGGUUCUGGGGGGAGUAUGAUCGCAAGGGGGAAACUUAAAGGAAUUGACGGAAGGGCACCACAAGGAGUGGAGCCUGCGGCUUAAUUUGACCCAACACGGGGAAGCUUACCAGGUCCAGACAAAGUAAGGAUUGACAGAUUGAGCGCUCUUUCUUGAUUCUUUGGGUGGUGGUGCAUGGCCGUUCUUAGUUGGUGGAGUGAUUUGUCUGGUUAAUUCCGAUAACGAACGAGACCUUAACCUGCUAAAUAGUCACUGGAAACUGCUGCAAAAGCGUUCGUCACGUCGGCGAGCUGAGGGGCAACCCGAGGCGCAAUGGUGUGGCGGGCGUGGUUGUUUCCGAGGAUGCACUUCUUAGAGGGACUUUCAGCUCUGAAGCUGAAGGAAGUUUCAGGCAAUAACAGGUCUGUGAUGCCCUUAGAUGUUCUGGGCCGCACGCGCGCUACAAUGAUUGAUUCAACAAGUAGACAACCUCCCCGGAAGGGUUGGGUAACCUUGCGAAAAUCAAUCGUGCUGAGGUUAGAUCAUUGUAAUUAUUGAUCUCUAAUCAGGAAUUCCUAGUAAGCGCGAGUUAUCAGCUCGCGUUGAUUACGUCCCCGCCCUUUGUACACACCGCCCGUCGCUACUACUGAUUGGAUGAUCCGGCCAGUU
Molecule: ribosomal RNA, 1479 nt
Filed under: metagenome
Description: SSU rRNA
Rfam family: Eukaryotic small subunit ribosomal RNA
Source: RNAcentral